Long non-coding RNA from Gopherus agassizii (Agassiz's desert tortoise), 1552 nucleotides. The record is from Ensembl. NCBI's taxonomy places the organism in Eukaryota, Metazoa, Chordata, Testudines, Testudinidae.
UAGACCUUUAUCAUAUUCCCUCUUAAUCUCUUUUCUAAAAUGAAUAGUUCCAGUCUUUUUUAAUCUUUACUCAUAUGGAAGCUGUUACAUACUCCUAAUAAUUUGUAUUGGCCCUCUCAGUAUUUUAUCCAGUUCUAAUAGAUCUUUAAGAUGGAGCAACUAGAACUGCACACACUAUUCAAAAUGUGGGUGUACCAUGGAUUUAUAUAGUGGCAUUAUGGUAUAUUCUGUCUUAUUUUCUAUCCCCUUCCUAAUAGUUCCUAAUAUUGCUAGCUUUUUGACUGCCACUGCACAUUGAGCAGAUAUUUUCAGAGUCAUCCAUGAUGACUUUCAGGAGUAGUAACCACUAAGGUGUUAUAAGGAGGGCUUUGGGAUGUACGGUCACUGGGAAGCAUUUACGGAUAGACGACUGUUCGCUCAGGAUGGACUUCAUCUAAGCAAGGAGGGAAAUAGAAUUCUAGGAUGGAGGCUCGCCGACCUCAUCAAGAGAGCUUUAAACUAGGAAGUUGGGGGAGAUGGUUGGGAGAUGUUCGGGAGAUCUCCACGCCGGAAUGUAACCUGGAGAGGAAAGUAAACAAAGUGAGAGGGGAUACCCUUGUGGUCCCAAGAUUUGAUCCAAGGAGGAAUAGUGGAGUAGAAACCAGAGUAACGGGUGAUGCUGGUGGUAAAAGGUCUCUGCACGACGGGGGAAAGAAUGUCACUGAUGCCAAACGCCGAAAAUUAAAAGGUCUGUACACUAAUGCGAGGAGUCUAGGUAACAAGAUGGAGGAACUGGAGUUACUAGUGCAGGAAGUGAAACCGGAUAUUAUAGGGAUAACUGAAACCUGGUGGAAUAGUACUCAUGACUGGAGCACGGGUAUUGAAGGCUAUGUGCUGUUUAGAAAAGACAGGAAGAAAGGCAAAGGUGGUGGAGUAGCCUUGUACAUCAAUGAUGAAAUUAACUGUAGCGAAAUAAGAAGCGAUGGAAUGGAUAAGACAGAGUCUGUCUGGGCGAAAAUCACACUGGGUAAAAAAGCAACUAGAGCUUCCCCUGAGAUAGUGCUUGGCGUGUGCUACAGACCGCCGGGAUCUGAUUGGGAUAUGGAUAGAGACCUCUUUAAUGUCUUUAAUGAAGUAAACACAAAGGGGAAAUGUGUGAUUAUGGGGGACUUCAACUUCCCGGAUAUAGACUGGAGGACGAGUACUUGCAAGAAUAAUAGGGGUCAGAUUUUUCUGGAUGUGAUAGCGGAUGGAUUUCUUCAUCAAGUAGUUGAAGUACCUACGAGAGGAGAUGCCAUUUUAGAUUUGGUGUUGGUGAGCAGUGAGGACCUCGUAGAAGAAAUGGUGGUAGGGGACAACCUUGGUUCGAGUGAUCAUGAGCUGAUUCAGUUCAAACUAGAUGGAAGGAUAAACAAAUGUAGAUCUGGGAUUAGGGUUUUUGACUUCUCGAGGGCUAAUUUUAAAGAGUUAAGGAAAUUAGUUAGGGAAGUGGAUUGGACGGAGGAAUUAGUGGAUUUAAAUGCGGAGGAGGCCUGGAAUUACUUUAAGUCGCAGCUGCGGAGACUGUCGGAAG